RNAcentral lists this ribosomal RNA (440 nucleotides) under uncultured bacterium. Its description in RNAcentral is "bacterial SSU rRNA". It matches the Rfam family "Bacterial small subunit ribosomal RNA", at positions 28 to 448 of the family's 1533-position model. The record is from RNAcentral.
GAUGAACGCUGGCGGCGUGCUUAACACAUGCAAGUCGAACGAAGCAUUUAAGACAGAUUACUUCGGUUUGAAGUCUUUUAUGACUGAGUGGCGGACGGGUGAGUAACGCGUGGGUAACCUGCCUCAUACAGGGGGAUAGCAGCUGGAAACGGCUGGUAAUACCGCAUAAGCGCACAGUACCACAUGGUACAGUGUGAAAAACUCCGGUGGUAUGAGAUGGACCCGCGUCUGAUUAGCUUGUUGGCGGGGUAACGGCCCACCAAGGCGACGAUCAGUAGCCGACCUGAGAGGGUGACCGGCCACAUUGGGACUGAGACACGGCCCAGACUCCUACGGGAGGCAGCAGUGGGGAAUAUUGCACAAUGGAGGAAACUCUGAUGCAGCGACGCCGCGUGAGUGAAGAAGUAGUUCGCUAUGUAAAGCUCUAUCAGCAGGGAAGA